ACGGGAGGCAGCAGUGAGGAAUAUUGGUCAAUGGGCGAGAGCCUGAACCAGCCAAGUCGCGUGAGGGAAGACGGCCCUAUGGGUUGUAAACCUCUUUUAUGCGGGAAUAAAGUGUCCCAUGCGUGGGGUUUUGCAAGUACCGCAGGAAUAAGCAUCGGCUAACUCCGUGCCAGCAGCCGCGGUAAUACGGGGGAUUCGAGUGUUAUCCGGAUUUAUUGGGUUUAAAGGGUGCGUAGGCGGAGGAUCAAGUCAGUGGUGAAAUGCUGCGGCUCAACCGUGGCAUUGCCGUUGAAACUGGUUUUCUAGAGUGCGAAUGAGGUAGGCGGAAUGUGUAGUGUAGCGGUGAAAUGCAUAGAUAUGACACAGAACACCGAUUGCGAAGGCAGCUCACUGGGACGCAACUGACGCUGAGGCACGAAAGUGCGGGGAUCGAACAGGAUUAGAUACCCUGGUA
Molecule: ribosomal RNA, 454 nt
Filed under: uncultured Paludibacter sp.
Lineage: Bacteria; Pseudomonadati; Bacteroidota; Bacteroidia; Bacteroidales; Paludibacteraceae
Description: partial 16S ribosomal RNA
Rfam family: Bacterial small subunit ribosomal RNA
Source: RNAcentral